This 175-nucleotide ribosomal RNA is filed under the name Tonkinodentus lestes. Its description in RNAcentral is "partial large subunit ribosomal RNA". It matches the Rfam family "Eukaryotic large subunit ribosomal RNA", at positions 1674 to 1846 of the family's 3401-position model. Lineage: Eukaryota; Metazoa; Arthropoda; Chilopoda; Scolopendromorpha; Cryptopidae. The record is from RNAcentral.
GGAGUCCCGGGAAGAGUUGUCUUUUCUUUGUAAGGGACGGACUCCCUGGAAUCGGCUCGCCCGGAGAGAGGGAUGUUGUUCCCGUAAAGCACCGCGGCUCUUGCGGUGUCCGGAGGGCUCCCGCCGGCCCUUGAAAAUCCGAGGGAGAGAAUUUGAUUUUCGCGCCGGACCGUAA